This 3748-nucleotide long non-coding RNA is filed under the name Triticum aestivum (bread wheat). RNAcentral's name for it is "long non-coding RNA (TAES_LNC024119)". The record is from RNAcentral. Lineage: Eukaryota; Viridiplantae; Streptophyta; Magnoliopsida; Poales; Poaceae.
ACAAUCUGAAGAAUUAAUGUUCAACAAUCUAUUAUAUACUUAAAACAGAAGUAAAAGAAGUUGUCACAUUUAUCCACAUAGAUCAAAUUAUGUGCACCAUCAAUAUUUGAUAACAACGGCUGAGAUUUAAAAAUAUACAAAAGUUACAUAUAACUAUUCUGGGGUACACAUAGUUGCCUGACACGCCUAUCAUCUAGCACGUCUCCAAACCUCAUAGCACGUCUUCAUCAAUCUGUCCGACAGACCGACACAACCACAAACUGGCGUGUGCAAAUAAGGCAAGCAAAACUCCACACAGAUUAAUCUGCAAGAGCCUAGAAGCCUCUGAAAAAAACUCCACAUGGACUCCGCCAAGCCAACGACAAAUAUAAAGGCACUCGACUGGCCACAUCCAGCACACACAAGGCAGCCCAAGAUUUAGGAUCAAUAUUUUUUGGGAAGUCAAAGUCAGCCGAAUCUCCUAUGAACCAACACGCCACCAGCAAAACUGAAGUCUGCCGAUUAUGUGAUGCAUCCAGUGAUUCAACGACGGACAAACAAUAACGCAAGGCAGCCCAAGAUUUAGGAUCAAUAUUUUUUGGAAAGUCGAAGUCAGCCGAAUCUCCUAUGAACCAACGCGCCACCAGCAAAAUCGAAGUCGGCUGGUUAUGUGAUGCAUCCAGUGACUCAACGAUGGACAAACAAGAAAAUUAGCCAACCUUCAAUGUCAGGUUCAGCUCGAGUGCCGACAAAGUCAGGCCCAACCUUCUGAGUUGUCUCUAACCUGAAUCAUCAAGGUUAGUAAAUACUACUAUUACUAAAUUCACUUAUCAUCAUAAAAUCUUCAUAGGUACUUUAUCAGUUGUUUUCAACUCCUAUUAAACCCCAAAAAUAUGGCAUACAAGAAGCUUAAUGACUUAACGACAAUUGUUGAUGAGCUUAUUAGCCUCAAUAUAAUUUUGAUGGACAAAAAAUGCAUUACAUAUUACAGAUUUCUCUAUUGUUUUGGACAACAAUCCCUAAUUAUAUUUUACUGUUUUGAUAGGGCCCAACCGAGUUCAUGCUACUAUCAACAUUUAAAAAUCCAUGCUACUAUCUCUAGAGGUUAAAUUAUAAUUAUAAUCGUUGGUACGGAUUAAGUACAAUAACAGGUAGAUAAAAUAAACAAUGCUCAGGUAUGUCUAUACUCUAUAGUGUGUGGUUUGAAAUAAGACUCUUAUCUAAUUAAUCUUUCUAACUGUGAAGCAAUUAAUCUCCAAAUUUAUUGUGAUUGGAUUAAUCACCCAAAUGAAGCAUGUGGAAUCAAUAAUAAAAAAAGAACUCUUUAGGGGUGAUAAAAAUAGGAGUUACGUUAUGGACAAAGUUUCCUUAUUUUUUGAAUGAGGAUUUAAUCGGCAGCUAAACUGUCCCUAUUGUAACCUUGAUGGUGCAGAAGUUCAAUCCAGUAAUGUUUACAAGAUAUUUUGUUAUUUACAGGGAAACUAUCUAAGACAUUUACCAUUGAUUACCAAUUCCACAAGAAUUAUAUAGGUCUAGAUAUAACUGAAGCCCAGGAACUUCUUGGCAAGUAUGGAACAGUAUCUUUUAUCAGUUAUUAGUUAUCAACUAAUGAAUAGUAACUCUGUUUGUUAACCAAUAUUACUAUACUUGACUAACUGCAUGUGUGUGUAGAAGAAACUUAACAAAAAUGAUGGAAGAUAGAUACAACUACGAAAGGAACACUAGAAGAAAAAAUGUCUUACAAAAGAAGAACAUUACAAGAAAUUACUAGAAUGAGGCACAAAAAUCAGACAAAUCAGGUACUGUAUAGACUUCUAAGAUAUGAUAUGACCACUUCCGAGGAAAACAAGACUCCAAACCUAGACUGAUAAUGGAGUCAUAUCAGCUAGAACGGACCAUAUUUGAUUUAUUUAUGUCUCUCAACUUCUUCAGAUUGCUAACUUUGAGUUUUGAGGUUGUUUUUCAGGAUUGCGAACUUUGAGCUACCUACAAUAUAUCUAUUACAGGAACAUGGUGGUAUAUGUCAUGUGGUGAUCUCACAAAGCAGGUACAAAGGAAAUUGACAAGAGUUGUGGUAUAUAUACAGAAAUUGUAACACCUCGGUAAGCAUAUAUUCUGCUAAUUUGCAUAUAUUCUGCUAUUUGAACAGUAACUUCCCAAUUAUGUUUACUUUGCAAUGAAAAGAUGCCAAAUUAAUUACCGUACAACUACUAUAAGCUGCACCUGAUUUUACGAGGAGACCGAAAAAAUUAUUAAUAUAUCGGUCUCGAAAUUGCAAAACUCAUUGGGUGGGAAGCACAAAAAUUAUACAAUAAUUAUGUUGAAAGUAAGCCAAACUAUUUAUGUUUACUGAGAUAAUAGUAAGAAUACUUGACAUCGAUCAAUAUAAGGAGGACACUUACCAGAUAACAAAGGUCAAAUGUUAGCACUAUCAAAAACAUAUUACAUUAUAAUUAUUUUAAAUACAUUCAGACAUGUACUUUUGGUGAAUUUUAUAUUCUUGGCAACAACUAUUCUAGCCUAUGGCCUGUUUAGUUCAAGAGACCAUGAUCGUGAGGGAAAACUGCAAUAUUACAGGCAUCGCCUACACCAUAGGCAAAAAAUUCAUUGCAUGUCAAUUAAGAUAUAUGAACCAAAUUCCAGUUAAUACAUUUAAUCCUUAUUGCUUUGUCCUAAAUACACAUAUAGGUAUAUAACUUGCUAAUAUAUGUUAGCACCAAAAAAAGAAUACUAUUAAACCACCUGCAAUGGGGAAACUUACAUGUCAAGAAUAAGCCAAUCCCGAUGAAGUAGAAAUGAUGCAAAGUUGUAGCAAAUUAAUGGGUGAAAGGCGAUGGCACCAGCAAUGAGGAAGCCCAAAACCCGCCUUUGCCUACAGACUCUUUAAAUAAAAAGAGACCAAUCACUAUAUAAAAAAUAUACAUCGGGGUUAUACAUAGUAGAUAGAUAUAAUGGACAUACGCUUUGUUGUAUGAAGCUCCAUAUAAUGGCUACAGAUAUGUUGAAGUGGCAAUAAUCAAAGUUGGGUAGAAUGUAAACUAAAAAAUAAUGUCAAGCCAAAUAUCUCUAUAAUGUAUAUCCUAUUAAUGAUUGUUAGAUGAAGAACAAAAGAAAGUAUGAGGUCAUCUCCCAAAUUAUAAUUUAAUAGAACAAGUAAAUCAACCUUCCCUCUGAAUUUGUUUAACAGAUCAACAACGUAAAUCAACUUACAAAGUACAUAUAUUGUGCCAAGCGAGAGAAGAAUGAAGAGAAUAAUGGGAGAGUAGGGAGAGAUUCAUACCUGUCCUUACUACUCCGCCUCAGACGUGGAAUGCUACGGAGAAGAUGGUCGUUCAACCUAACGACACAGCUCUCUGUCCUAGAGCCACGAACAGGAGAGCAGAACACUCUCGGAGAACCUAGCAGCAAGCAACACCUCUCAUAAUCUCCGGUGGCCUACCCGGCGACCGAUCUGCCUCUACAAAGCAGAAAUAGUGAGAUGCGGCCUUGCUGGUAGGCGACGCAAGAUCUGCGGCUCGAACGCGCAUCUCCGUUUCUGCCAGACUUGAUCUCCAAGAGCAUCUCCUUCGCAGCUUUGGUGAAGUAGGAGCAUGACAUUCGAUUUCGUAGAGCCAGCUUGAGGGACAAUAACGAUAGAGCAGAGAAAGGGGAUCUGCUUAUCUUCUCACAGAAGAUAUAUGGAGACUUCUACAGACGGGAAGAAAGUUGACAAAUGGGCCUAUUGUGACCUCGGAGGCGUGGGUGAAAGCAAAAAGGAAAUAUUCUACAG